RNAcentral lists this ribosomal RNA (492 nucleotides) under uncultured bacterium. RNAcentral describes it as "partial 16S ribosomal RNA". It matches the Rfam family "Bacterial small subunit ribosomal RNA", at positions 29 to 507 of the family's 1533-position model. The record is from RNAcentral.
AGUGAACGCUGGCGGUAGGCCUAACACAUGCAAGUCGAACGGCAGCACAGUAAAAGCUUGCUCUUACGGGUGGCGAGUGGCGGACGGGUGAGGAAUACAGCGGAAUCUACUUUUUCGUGGGGGAUAACGUAGGGAAACUUACGCUAAUACCGCAUACGACCUACGGGUUAAAGCAGGGGAUCUUCGGACCUUGCGCGAUUGAAUGAGCCGAUGUCGGAUUAGCUAGUUGGCGGGGUAAAGGCCCACCAAGGCGACGAUCCGUAGCUGGUCUGAGAGGGUGAUCAGCCACAUGGGAACUGAGACACGGUCCAGACUCCUACGGGAGGAAGCAGUGGGGAAUAUUGGACAAUGGGGGAAAGCCGGAUCCAGCCAUACCGCGUGGGUGAAGAAGGCCUUCGGGUUGUAAAGUCCUGUUGUUGGGAAAGAAAAGCAGCAGGUUAAUACCCCGCUGUUCUGACGGUACCCAAAGAAUAAGCACCGGCUAACUUCGUG